This 323-nucleotide long non-coding RNA is filed under the name Nicotiana benthamiana. RNAcentral's name for it is "long non-coding RNA (NBEN_LNC042374)". Lineage: Eukaryota; Viridiplantae; Streptophyta; Magnoliopsida; Solanales; Solanaceae. The record is from RNAcentral.
GGGGGGGGGGUAUUCGAGGGUGAAUACUGGUAUGGUGGAGGUGGUGGUAGUGAGAGUGAUUACUGGUGUUAGUUUGAAGGUAUUUCGCAACCGGCCGCUGUCGUGGACGGCGGAGCUGUCUUGUUUCGAUGGAAUAUUCAAACCGGCCGGCGAGGAUUUGAGGUGUGAAUCCUAUGGGAAUGGAAAGAGGAGGGUGGGAUGCUCUUGUGGUGUAAAUUUGAAGGACUUUGGGGCUACGCCGGCGGCGGCGGGGGGUGGUGGUUCUGUGACGGUACAUGGGCGGUGGUGACAUUCAAUAUUGAACUGUACGAGGAAGGGAAGGU